Pogoniulus pusillus (Red-fronted tinkerbird) is the source of this 2390-nucleotide long non-coding RNA. RefSeq lists it as uncharacterized. Lineage: Eukaryota; Metazoa; Chordata; Aves; Piciformes; Lybiidae. The record is from RefSeq and is a predicted model, not a curated record. The transcript is spliced from 3 exons.
AUGGCUCACAGGAUGGAAGAAAGAGAAAUUAAAUGGAGGCAGCUUGCCAGGUGAACUCAGUGAGAACCGUGCCAUUGCCACAGCAGGUGAGCUGGGUGCUUCUGCAAGCCAAGGGCUGUGUUUGACUCAUGGGAUUACAGACACUUGGCCAAAAAACUGAUGAAUUGCCUCAGGUGUGGAGCUGAAUCCCAGAUACCACAGUACAUUCUGCCCCUCACUGCCUUGGCUCUGUCCUUUGGGUCACUUCAGUUUCAGCACAGGCAUUUUAGAUCCUGUACUUGUGGAAGCUGUCCCAUCAGGCUGGAUGACUCCUAAAUCCCUGUAGCCUCUCUGCAUUCUGCAACCCAGAUUUAACUCUAUGAGCCUUCCUGCUGUCUGAAGCCAGAAGUUUCCAAGUUGAGUGCUACAGAGGCCUGCCGUCACCCAUGGGCUGUUUUGGCUGAGUCAGAUGCACCUCCCAAUGAGUGCCUUCAGUGGUUGGAAAGGAAACUUCUGGAGCUGGCUCAGGGGGCCACCACACACUCCUCGUUUCGGUAUCUCCCUAUCAAGAAUGGACACCUAGAACCAGUACCCAGCCAUCUCCAGUAAUUCAGUGAGCAAUUCGGUGUCUUCUCAGGGCAGACCAGCCCAACAAAAAAAAAGGCAGAUCAGUGCUGGUUGUCACUUAGUAUAGUUCUGAUCAGCUUUAUCCUGAUCUUCAUAGGGAAGAAUGAAACAGUAGGAAGCUUCCAGUGCUUUUUGUUUGUUUGUUAUUUUAGAAUCCCUGUGAGAAAAAAAGACUCUGUUCCAAAACAACUUGUGUUUCUGGAAUGAGAGCAAACACUGGACUCCAGAGGCUCAAUGGCCUCAUCCAUAUGGAUCCAAUUCUCUAUAAAAGGUUGAUAAAACUGCUUCUUGUAUUUGUGAAUCUGAAGGCUACAGCUCUUCACAUGGAAUCUGAGAAGAUUCCAUGUGAAGCACCUAAGCCCUCAGGGUGCUAGAGGUUUAUUAAAGCAUUAUUAUUAUCUAGAGGUUUAUUAAUGCAUUUACACCUACCCAGCCUCUCCUUCAGUCUCACCUUUCUUCCUGGGAUGCUGCAUUUCUUCCCGGUUCUCUUCUGAGCAUCAACCCAAAUUUGGAUGUGAACUCAGUGACAGAUAUCACAGGGCACAGGAAACAAUUAUAAGGAGCAGAACUAUCCAAUAUACACAGCAGGAACAGCUCUGUGAUUCAGAGUCCUUAUUAUGGAUCAGAGCUCGUAAGAUUCAAAGCCUGUAUAGACCAUCAGAGAUGGUGUGGGCUCUGUGUUUCUUCUGAAACACACCCUGAUAAGUAGAAAAAUACACAUCUGGCAUAGAAAACAAUGUCUUUAGCCCUUGCUAGCCUGGGAUGGAUCACUGUAGUAGAAAGAACGGUGUCUGGGUUAAAGUGCAGCACGCUAGCCCAGAGAGUUUAACAUCUGGCAACAGAUGACUUGAUUAAGACUAGUGGUGGUGGAGCUCCAGGGCUGGCUGAACUAAUUGCCUCUCAGCCCUGAAAAUGCACUCCAGCCAUUUUUGGAAAAUUAACUUCUGUGCCCAUGGGAAUGCUCUCACUCCCUUGUACACUGGUGAAACAGCCUUCAUAGGCAAAAGGGUUCAUCAGGGAGGCUGCAGCGAAUUAUGAAAGCUGUUUAUGACCAAAGCCAUUGCCUUCCCAAAAGCAGAAUUGCCCUGAAUCCUCGGGAAGUCCCCAGUGCUGUGGAAAUGUAUCUGGCCAGGCUGCUCUCUACUGCACUGAUUCCCUGCCAGCUCUGCAGUGCAAGAGCCGGGGGCUGCAUUUUUCACCUACUUUACUGAUUCUGCUACUGCUCCCAGUGCAGGAACUAGCCUCUCCUGUGACCACUUCCUUGAGACAUGCAGAAUCAUUACUCAAAUCUGCUUGCUGAUGCAUGGUUUGCACCAAAACCAGUGCUUCUUGACCAGAAAAAUAGUCAAGAAGACUGAUAACUGGAGCAGCAGUCCCUCCUCUGUGCAAACAUUGCUGUUUGUUGUUUUCCCUGCUUUUUGCCAUCAGAGGUUCGCAUAUCUCACUGCCCAGCCCAGCAACUCAUCACUACCAUGAUAAGUUUGUGAGGCCCAUCAAAGCUGUGGGAUUAGGGCUGUCACAAGCCACCAGCUUCCCACUGCAUGCUCCCCCAACUUCAGUGACAAAUCUGCAGCAGCAACGACCCAAUUUUGUCUCUCUCCACCACUCAACCUUAGACAAGAGUGUGGGAUUUAUUAUGCUGGGACUUGUGCUCCUAAGCGUGAGGAUGUUGCUGUUAUCAGCAGUUGACAUGCCAUCAAGAAAACAUUGCUGUCAAAGUGAGAAGCCAGUGGUUAGCAUUUCCCCAAACCCCUGUUUGUUUGUAAGCAGCAGAAAGAGUGCAC